GAUGAACGCUGGCGGCGUGCCUAAUACAUGCAAGUCGAGCGAACAGAUAAGGAGCUUGCUCCUUUGACGUUAGCGGCGGACGGGUGAGUAACACGUGGGUAACCUACCUAUAAGACUGGAAUAACUCCGGGAAACCGGGGCUAAUGCCGGAUAACAUUUAGAACCGCAUGGUUCUAAAGUGAAAGAUGGUUUUGCUAUCACUUAUAGAUGGACCCGCGCCGUAUUAGCUAGUUGGUAAGGUAACGGCUUACCAAGGCAACGAUACGUAGCCGACCUGAGAGGGUGAUCGGCCACACUGGAACUGAGACACGGUCCAGACUCCUACGGGAGGCAGCAGUAGGGAAUCUUCCGCAAUGGGCGAAAGCCUGACGGAGCAACGCGGCGUGAGUGAUGAAGGCCUUCGGAUCGUAAAACUCUGUUAUUAGGGAAGAACAAAUGUGUAAGUAACUGUGCACGUCUUGACGGUACCUAAUCAGAAAGCCACGGCUAACUACGU
RNAcentral lists this ribosomal RNA (496 nucleotides) under uncultured bacterium. Its description in RNAcentral is "partial 16S ribosomal RNA". It matches the Rfam family "Bacterial small subunit ribosomal RNA", at positions 28 to 506 of the family's 1533-position model. The record is from RNAcentral.